This 253-nucleotide ribosomal RNA is filed under the name uncultured bacterium. RNAcentral describes it as "partial 16S ribosomal RNA". It matches the Rfam family "Bacterial small subunit ribosomal RNA", at positions 524 to 776 of the family's 1533-position model. The record is from RNAcentral.
UACAGAGGUGGCAAGCGUUGUUCGGAAUUACUGGGCGUAAAGGGCGCGUAGGCGGCCUACUAAGUCAGACGUGAAAUCCCCCGGCUUAACCUGGGAACUGCGUCUGAUACUGGAAGGCUAGAGUAUGGGAGAGGGAUGUAGAAUUCCAGGUGUAGCGGUGAAAUGCGUAGAUAUCUGGAGGAAUACCGGUGGCGAAGGCGGCAUCCUGGACCAUUACUGACGCUGAGGCGCGAAAGCUAGGGGAGCAAACGGG